This 468-nucleotide ribosomal RNA is filed under the name uncultured bacterium. RNAcentral's name for it is "partial 16S ribosomal RNA". It matches the Rfam family "Bacterial small subunit ribosomal RNA", at positions 28 to 507 of the family's 1533-position model. The record is from RNAcentral.
GACGAACGCUGGCGGCGUGCUUAACACAUGCAAGUCGAACGGAAAGGCCCUGCUUUUGUGGGGUGCUCGAGUGGCGAACGGGUGAGUAACACGUGAGUAACCUGCCCUUGACUUUGGGAUAACUUCAGGAAACUGGGGCUAAUACCGGAUAGGAGCUCCUGCUGCAUGGUGGGGGUUGGAAAGUUUCGGCGGUUGGGGAUGGACUCGCGGCUUAUCAGCUUGUUGGUGGGGUAGUGGCUUACCAAGGCUUUGACGGGUAGCCGGCCUGAGAGGGUGACCGGCCACAUGGGGACUGAGGUAGGGCCCAGAGUCCUACGGGAGGCAGCAGUGGAGAAUAUUGCACAAUGGGCGGAAGCCUGAUGCAGCAACGCCGCGUGCGGGAUGACGGCCUUCGGGUUGUAAACCGCUUUCGCCUGUGACGAAGCGUGAGUGACGGUAAUGGGUAAAGAAGCACCGGCUAACUACGUG